Molecule: long non-coding RNA, 344 nt
Organism: Melitaea cinxia (Glanville fritillary)
Lineage: Eukaryota; Metazoa; Arthropoda; Insecta; Lepidoptera; Nymphalidae
Exons: 3
Source: RefSeq, a predicted model, not a curated record
UUGAUUCUACGAAAGGUCGGACAUGCGCAAGUCCCUCUUAUUCUAGCUGUGCCUGGAAAUCUAGGCAUUCUAGCUUUUGCAUUCAAUGUAAGGUGACAUAUAUUGAGACGUGAAAGUUUUGAAGAAUUAAUACAGUGAUAAAUCACUCAAUUUGUAUUAGUUUAUUAUGAAAGUUACGAAUCAUUAAUAAAGAUGAUUAAAACAAACGACGAAAAAAAUAAGGAGGUCGCAAGAGGAGCUGGAUUUUACACCCAAAGGACGGAUAGCAACGUGCUCUGCGAAAGCUUGAUGUCUAAACUCACUGAGAAAAACGAUGAUGACUCAAAGAAUGACGUAAAAUCUGC